AACGAACGCUGGCGGCGUGCUUAACACAUGCAAGUCGAACGGAGUCAUAUUGUGUAGCAAUACAUGAUAUGACUUAGUGGCGGACGGGUGAGUAACACGUAGGUAACCAACCCUAGAGCGGGGGACAACCCAGGGAAACUUGGGCUAAUACCGCAUAAGACCACGGACUGGGAGGUCUGUGGUAAAAGUAGCAAUACACUUUAGGAUGGGCCUGCGGCCUAUCAGGUAGUUGGCGGGGUAAAGGCCCACCAAGCCUAAGACGGGUAGCCGGACUGAGAGGUUGAACGGCCACACUGGAACUGAGAUACGGUCCAGACUCCUACGGGAGGCUG
RNAcentral lists this ribosomal RNA (332 nucleotides) under uncultured Nitrospirota bacterium. RNAcentral describes it as "bacterial SSU rRNA". It matches the Rfam family "Bacterial small subunit ribosomal RNA", at positions 29 to 351 of the family's 1533-position model. The record is from RNAcentral. Lineage: Bacteria; Pseudomonadati; Nitrospirota.